AGCGAACGCUGGCGGCAUGCUUAACACAUGCAAGUCGCACGGUCGGGGUAACCCGACAGUGGCGGACGGGUGAGUAACGCGUAGGUAUCUAUCUCCGGGUGGGGGACAACUGUGGGAAACUACAGCUAAUACCGCAUGACACCCGAGGGUCAAAGCAGCGAUGCGCCUGGAGAGGAGCCUGCGUACGAUUAGCUUGUUGGCGGGGUAAUGGCCCACCAAGGCGACGANCGUUAGCUGGUCUGAGAGGAUGAUCAGCCACACUGGGACUGAGAC
Molecule: ribosomal RNA, 273 nt
Filed under: uncultured bacterium
Lineage: Bacteria
Description: partial 16S ribosomal RNA
Rfam family: Bacterial small subunit ribosomal RNA
Source: RNAcentral